RNAcentral lists this ribosomal RNA (750 nucleotides) under uncultured bacterium. RNAcentral describes it as "bacterial SSU rRNA". It matches the Rfam family "Bacterial small subunit ribosomal RNA", at positions 48 to 787 of the family's 1533-position model. The record is from RNAcentral.
AAACCAUAAAUGGCAAGUCGGACGAGAGAACCUUCGGGUCUCUAGUGGCGAACGGGUGAGUAACACGUAGGGAACCUGCCCGCGCACCGGGAAUACGCUCUGGAAACGGAGAACAAAUCCCGAUGUACAGGAAGGAGGCAUCUUCUUUCUGUGAAACAUCCUUUCGGGGAUGGGGCGCGGAUGGACCUGCGGUGCAUUAGUUUGUUGGCGGGGUAAAGGCCCACCAAGACGAUGAUGCAUAGCCGGCCUGAGAGGGCGGACGGCCACAUUGGGACUGAGACACGGCCCAGACUCCUGCGGGAGGCAGCAGUAGGGAAUUUUCGUCAAUGGGCGCAAGCCUGAACGAGCGAUGCCGCGUGAGUGAAGAAGGCCUUCGGGUCGUAAAGCUCUGUUGCGGGGGAAAAAAGGCAGCAUCAGGAAAUGGGUGCUGACUGAUGGUGCCCCGCCAGAAAGUCACGGCUAACUACGUGCCAGCAGCCGCGGUAAUACGUAGGUGGCGAGCGUUAUCCGGAAUGAUUGGGCGUAAAGGGUGCGCAGGCGGUCCUGCAAGUCUGGAGUGAAACGCAUGAGCUCAACUCAUGCAUGGCUUUGGAAACUGGAGGACUGGAGAGCAGGAGAGGGCGGUGGAACUCCAUGUGUAGCGGUAAAAUGCGUAGAUAUAUGGAAGAACACCAGUGGCGAAGGCGGCCGCCUGGCCUGUUGCUGACGCUGAGGCACGAAAGCGUGGGGAGCAAAUAGGAUUAGAUACCC